CAGCAGCCGCGGGAAAACGUAGGUGGCAAGCGUUGUCCGGAAUUAUUGGGCGUAAAGGGCUCGCAGGCGGUUUCUUAAGUCUGAUGUGAAAGCCCCCGGCUCAACCGGGGAGGGUCAUUGGAAACUGGGAAACUUGAGUGCAGAGGAGGAGAGUGGAAUUCCACGUGUAGCGGUGAAAUGCGUAGAGAUGUGGAGGAACACCAGUGGCGAAGGCGACUCUCUGGUCUGUAACUGACGCUGGGGAGCGAAAGCGUGGGGAGCGAACAGGAUUAGAUACCCCAGUAGUCCCUGUCUCUUAUAC
This 301-nucleotide ribosomal RNA is filed under the name uncultured bacterium. Its description in RNAcentral is "partial 16S ribosomal RNA". It matches the Rfam family "Bacterial small subunit ribosomal RNA", at positions 509 to 807 of the family's 1533-position model. The record is from RNAcentral.